AUGCUGACGAGUCCCAAAUAUGACGAAACGCGCGUCUUGGAU
Molecule: non-coding RNA, 42 nt
Filed under: Schistosoma curassoni
Lineage: Eukaryota; Metazoa; Platyhelminthes; Trematoda; Strigeidida; Schistosomatidae
Source: RNAcentral